GAAAUGCGAUAAGUAAUGUGACUUGCAAUUUUUUAGUGACCCAUCGAAUUUUUGAACGCACCUUGCACCGUUUGGUAUUCCGAACGGUAUGCCUGUUUGAGUGUCUUGACAUUCUCAAUCCCUCUGUAUUUUAUUAUGCAUGAUGGUGUAUUGGUCUUGAACGUUUUGCCGGUUUCUCGCGCAUUUUAUUAUGCAAACAGAGACUGGCUCGUUUUAAAGUGAUUAGCUGGUAAGCAUUCAUAUGCAAUUUCCCACUUAGCACCUGAGCGUAAUAAUUAUUUCGUUCACGGUCAGGGUAUAUUGCUCGGAUCAUAAACCGCUUCUAACCCGUUAGUGUGUCGGAGCAGCAAUGCUUGUUGAUGCACAACACCCACUUUUGUAAAUCAGACCUCAAAUCAGG
This 400-nucleotide unclassified non-coding RNA is filed under the name uncultured Microbotryomycetes. RNAcentral's name for it is "sequence contains ITS1". The stretch from base 1 to 106 matches the Rfam family "5.8S ribosomal RNA", at positions 50 to 154 of the family's 154-position model. Lineage: Eukaryota; Fungi; Basidiomycota; Microbotryomycetes. The record is from RNAcentral.